GGGGCUAUAGCUCAGCUGGGAGAGCGCUUGCAUGGCAUGCAAGAGGUCAGCGGUUCGAUCCCGUCAUCUCCACCA
RNAcentral lists this transfer RNA (75 nucleotides) under Escherichia coli. Its description in RNAcentral is "tRNA-Ala". It matches the Rfam family "tRNA". From Rfam's summary of the family: Transfer RNA (tRNA) molecules are approximately 80 nucleotides in length. Their secondary structure includes four short double-helical elements and three loops (D, anti-codon, and T loops). Further hydrogen bonds mediate the characteristic L-shaped molecular structure. tRNAs have two regions of fundamental functional importance: the anti-codon, which is responsible for specific mRNA codon recognition, and the 3' end, to which the tRNAs corresponding amino acid is attached (by aminoacyl-tRNA synthetases). tRNAs cope with the degeneracy of the genetic code in two manners: having more than one tRNA (with a specific anti-codon) for a particular amino acid; and 'wobble' base-pairing, i.e. permitting non-standard base-pairing at the 3rd anti-codon position. Lineage: Bacteria; Pseudomonadati; Pseudomonadota; Gammaproteobacteria; Enterobacterales; Enterobacteriaceae. The record is from RNAcentral.